UACGUAGGGUGCGAGCGUUGUCCGGAAUUAUUGGGCGUAAAGAGCUCGUAGGCGGUUCGUCGCGUCGGCUGUGAAAACCCGGAGCUCAACUCCGGGCCUGCAGUCGAUACGGGCGGACUUGAGUGUUGCAGGGGAGACUGGAAUUCCUGGUGUAGCGGUGAAAUGCGCAGAUAUCAGGAGGAACACCGGUGGCGAAGGCGGGUCUCUGGGCAACUACUGACGCUGAGGAGCGAAAGCGUGGGGAGCGAACAGG
This 253-nucleotide ribosomal RNA is filed under the name uncultured bacterium. RNAcentral's name for it is "partial 16S ribosomal RNA". It matches the Rfam family "Bacterial small subunit ribosomal RNA", at positions 524 to 776 of the family's 1533-position model. The record is from RNAcentral.